RNAcentral lists this transfer RNA (68 nucleotides) under Marmota monax (woodchuck). Its description in RNAcentral is "tRNA.Ala". Lineage: Eukaryota; Metazoa; Chordata; Mammalia; Rodentia; Sciuridae. The record is from RNAcentral.
GGAUUGUAGCUCAGUGGUAGAGCGCUCACCUAGCAUGCGCGGAGCCCUGGGUUCGAUCCUCAACACCA